AGUCGAGCGUGGCUUGACCCGCAAGGGUUGAGUCUAGCGGCGGACGGCUUAGUAACACGUAGGAAUCUGCCCCUCUCCGGAGGAUAGCUCGCCGAAAGGCGAGAUAAUACUCCAUAGUCCCCGCCUCUGGCGGGGUAAAGAUUUAUCGGGAAGGGAUGAGCCUGCGUCCUAUCAGGUAGUUGGUGGGGUAACGGCCCACCAAGCCAACGACGGGUAGCUGGUCUAAGAGGAUGAUCAGCAAGAGGGGGACCGAGAUACGGCCCCCACUCCUACGGGAGGCAGCAAUCAGGAAUAGUCGGCAAUGGGCGCAAGCCUGACCGCGCGACACCGCGUGUAGGAUGACGCUCUAAUCGAGUGUAAACUACUGUGGUAGAGGAAGAAGAUCCGCAAGGAUUUGACGGUACUCUACUAGAAAGGAGCCGCUAACUGCGUGCCAGAAGCGUCGGUAAUACGUGGGCUUCAAGCGUUAUCCGGUUUUAUUGGGCGUAAAGGGUCGUGUAGGCGGUUUGACAAGUUAUCUCUUAAAUUUUCUCGCUCAACGAGAAGCAAGGAGAUAAUACUGCCAAACUAGAAUUUCCUUAAGGGUAAAUGGAACUGAGGGAGGAGUAGUGAAAUGCGUUGAUACCCUCGGGAACACUCGUGGCGAAGGCGAUUUACUGGAAGGAAAUUGACGCUGAGACACGAAAGCUAGGGGAG
Molecule: ribosomal RNA, 696 nt
Filed under: uncultured bacterium
Lineage: Bacteria
Description: bacterial SSU rRNA
Rfam family: Bacterial small subunit ribosomal RNA
Source: RNAcentral